Molecule: long non-coding RNA, 429 nt
Organism: Poecilia latipinna (sailfin molly)
Lineage: Eukaryota; Metazoa; Chordata; Actinopteri; Cyprinodontiformes; Poeciliidae
Exons: 3
Source: RefSeq, a predicted model, not a curated record
GCUCCACUUUUCAUCAUGGUGUACAAAGAUUUCCUCAGCAUCAGGUCUCUGUCAUGAAAGCCCCACAUCCCUGGAAGACAAAAACACAACGACAGAGCUUGUCAGGACAGAUUACAAUAACUCCGGUGCCUCUAGACCUCGGCUGCCCUCAGAGCCCUCGCACUGGGGAGGAAAGAAUCUGGGGAGGGUGAACAUGCCAUGUCUCUAGAACACAAAGUACAGAACCACACAUGCGCCUGCAGCCCUCUGCUGCUCAGUGAGUGCCAGCGAAUGGACACAAAGCUUCUCUUGGGGAGUUGCACUCGUAAGCCCGUCAGUCCUGCCUCUAAAUCAGCAAACCUGCCUCCUGUUUCAGGUUCCUUUGAUUUUGUCAUCUUCCUUCCUUCUCAUUCCCGUCUCAUUUGCCCCCACCUCCACGCCCCUUCGAAC